GACGAACGCUGGCGGCGUGCUUAACACAUGCAAGUCGAACGGUGAAGCUCCAGCUUGCUGGAGUGGAUCAGUGGCGAACGGGUGAGUAACACGUGAGCAACCUGCCCCAGACUCUGGAAUAAGCGCUGGAAACGGCGUCUAAUACUGGAUACGAGAUCAAGCCGCAUGGUUGUGGUCUGGAAAGUUUUGCGGUUUGGGAUGGGCUCGCGGCCUAUCAGCUUGUUGGUGAGGUACUGGCUCACCAAGGCGACGACGGGUAGCCGGCCUGAGAGGGCGACCGGCCACACUGGGACUGAGACACGGCCCAGACUCCUACGGGAGGCAGCAGUGGGGAAUAUUGCACAAUGGGCGAAAGCCUGAUGCAGCGACGCCGCGUGAGGGAUGACGGCCUUCGGGUUGUAAACCUCUUUCAGCAGGGAAGAAGCGAAAGUGACGGUACCUGCAGAAGAAGCACCGGCUAACUACGUG
RNAcentral lists this ribosomal RNA (468 nucleotides) under uncultured bacterium. RNAcentral's name for it is "partial 16S ribosomal RNA". It matches the Rfam family "Bacterial small subunit ribosomal RNA", at positions 28 to 507 of the family's 1533-position model. The record is from RNAcentral.